CAUGGCACUGAUGUGUAAACUUUUAGAGAGAAGUUACAGAAGAUACAUGAUUUGCUUUUGAAUAUUUCAAGCAGACAUACUGCUAAUACA
This is a long non-coding RNA of Etheostoma spectabile (orangethroat darter), 90 nucleotides long. RefSeq lists it as uncharacterized. Lineage: Eukaryota; Metazoa; Chordata; Actinopteri; Perciformes; Percidae. The record is from RefSeq and is a predicted model, not a curated record. The transcript has 3 exons.